ACACUGUUGUUGAAGCCGGAUCGUUGCCCCAGGGCACUUCAGCUCAGAAAGCUGAACUCAUUGCUUUAAUUCGGGCCUUAGAACUCAGUGAAGGUGACUCUUAAAUUUGAGAAACAUUGGAAUAGUGGAUUAAUUCAGAGUAGCGGUUUUUGUGAUCCACAGAUGAAGCACAGAGAAAAGGAUAGAGAUGGAGACACAAAAACAUUGAUCUCCCAAGCUGUAGAGACUGGUGUCUCCUUUGGGAAUAUCUACAACUACCAACUGCACAACAAAGUAGUAAGUGCAGCUUCGAAUUUGUCUUGUGGUAGGCCACGAUCCUGUGCCCACAAGGACAGUGCACAGGUCAUCCGAGCACACGGCUGAGCCCGGUAGGCAAAGGAAGGAAGGUCCAGGUCACAGGGCAGCGAGGCCCAGCACAAUGAAGGAGAAUGGAAACACACCACACCUCAAUUAGAAUGGGAUCCAAUUCUUUUACAAAAAUUUUUUUCUGAUUACAAAAUUUAAGGGAAAAAGGGAAAGUUCUUCCUUCCUACAGACUGACAUGUAAUAAAUGGAGAUGGAACACACAAAAA
RNAcentral lists this small RNA (572 nucleotides) under Pan troglodytes (chimpanzee). RNAcentral describes it as "processed transcript". The record is from RNAcentral. Lineage: Eukaryota; Metazoa; Chordata; Mammalia; Primates; Hominidae.